This 253-nucleotide ribosomal RNA is filed under the name uncultured bacterium. RNAcentral describes it as "partial 16S ribosomal RNA". It matches the Rfam family "Bacterial small subunit ribosomal RNA", at positions 524 to 776 of the family's 1533-position model. The record is from RNAcentral.
UACGUAGGGACCAAGCGUUGUUCGGAUUUACUGGGCGUAAAGGGCGCGUAGGCGGCAAUUCAAGUCAGCUGUGAAAUCUCCGGGCUUAACUCGGAACGGUCAGCUGAUACUGCUUUGCUAGAGUGCAGAAGGGGCAAUCGGAAUUCUUGGUGUAGCGGUGAAAUGCGUAGAUAUCAAGAGGAACACCGGAGGUGAAGACGGGUUGCUGGGCUGACACUGACGCUGAGGCGCGAAAGCGAGGGUAGCAAACGGG